Trichechus manatus latirostris (Florida manatee) is the source of this 107-nucleotide small nuclear RNA. The record is from RefSeq and is a predicted model, not a curated record. NCBI's taxonomy places the organism in Eukaryota, Metazoa, Chordata, Mammalia, Sirenia, Trichechidae.
GUGCUUGCUUUGGCAGCACAUGUAGUAAAAUUGGAAUGAUACGGAGAAGAUCAGCAUGACCCCUGCUCAAGGAUAACAUGCAAAUUUGUGAAGCGUUCCAUAUUUUU